RNAcentral lists this small RNA (59 nucleotides) under Paenibacillus sp. P22. Its description in RNAcentral is "ctRNA". The record is from RNAcentral. Lineage: Bacteria; Bacillati; Bacillota; Bacilli; Caryophanales; Paenibacillaceae.
AAAAGAAGCCCCCCGUCAGGGGGCUUCUUCUCUAUUUCAUUGUGAAAUCUAUUAUCCCA